CAGCCAUGAUGGGAGUAUAUUCUUUUGCAACUGUAAGGUGCGGCAGGAAACGGCUGACCCCUCACCCUGCCCCCGCAGUGACCUCAACCCCACUGCUGACGACCACCCUCCCGGCCGCCUAAGGCCGACCAUGAUCACCUCUCCUGGUUGGCCGCCAAGCAGGAGAGGAUGGAGCGCAGAGUUGUUGCAACCCAGUUCUCCCAUUCAGAGUGGGAAGUCAGCAGGGGCUGAGGAAUUGGCUGUGACAAACAAGAGACAAGAACCACUGAAAUGCGCCCGUAUGCUCACCAGGACACUAUUGCUGGUUAAGUGGUCCUGAAGCACCAGUUGUGAUGAAUGGAAGAUCAGCAUCAUUGGGGUAAAACCUUCUGGAAAGUGUUUCCUCAGGAUCAUCCCACAGAGCUGCAAUUGGAGGCGGCCGAGGCUGCAUUUCAAGCUGUUCACCGGA
This is a long non-coding RNA of Psammomys obesus (fat sand rat), 448 nucleotides long. RefSeq lists it as uncharacterized. NCBI's taxonomy places the organism in Eukaryota, Metazoa, Chordata, Mammalia, Rodentia, Muridae. The transcript has 3 exons. The record is from RefSeq and is a predicted model, not a curated record.